Molecule: long non-coding RNA, 163 nt
Organism: Cydia splendana
Lineage: Eukaryota; Metazoa; Arthropoda; Insecta; Lepidoptera; Tortricidae
Exons: 3
Source: RefSeq, a predicted model, not a curated record
UAUUAUUAUGGCUUUUUUAGGAGAAUCCGACUACUUUGGGCGGAAAAAGUCCGGAACAUGUGCAAAAGGUUGCAAAGCUCGCCAAGAAACUGUUUCAUGGGCUAAAGGUACUACUUACAGGAAAUAACCAGACACCGGAUUUUUCGGCAGGGUACAUAUUAAU